This 253-nucleotide ribosomal RNA is filed under the name uncultured bacterium. RNAcentral's name for it is "partial 16S ribosomal RNA". It matches the Rfam family "Bacterial small subunit ribosomal RNA", at positions 524 to 776 of the family's 1533-position model. The record is from RNAcentral.
UACAGAGGGGGCAAGCGUUAAUCGGAAUUACUGGGCGUAAAGCGUGCGCAGACGGUUGCGUAAGUCAGAUGUGAAAGCCCCGGGCUCAACCUGGGAAUUGCAUUUGAGACUGCGUAGCUAGGGUGCGGAAGAGGGAAGCGGAAUUUCCGGUGUAGCGGUGAAAUGCGUAGAUAUCGGAAGGAACACCAGUGGCGAAAGCGGCUUCCUGGUCCAGCACCGACGUUCAGGCACGAAAACGUGGGGAGCAAACAGG